CUGUUGCAGGUGACCUUCCUCCUCCUACUGAAGCUGACCUUCCUUCCUCCUGCUGCUUAAUCCUGUUGUCUUGGAUGAUUAAAUCACGCCACAUUCUGCUCGUUUCAAUUCUACAGCGGCGUAUCACAUAGAGAAGUUCGAUCCGGACAACCGCUUCAGUUCGAUGUCACUGCAUAGUGCAGCUUUUUUAUGCUCUUUUCUUGUUUUGACAAAAGAUGUUGUUUUUGUAGAUUUGUGCACAUAAAGUUCAAAAAAUAUAAUGGAGAUAAGCAGCAAGUAUGCGUGUGUGUGGUGGUGAGGUUGAGGUUCAGAAAACGUGUGUGGUGAUGGUGAGGUUCAGAAGAACAUGUGUGUGGUGGAGAAAUUCACUAGCUUUUUUAAUCGGGACACAAGUAAUAGCUUAUUUUGUGCAAACAUAAAGACAAAAAAAUGUAUGCGUCUUUUAUAAAAAGAAAUUAACAAAUGGUCAUGUAUCGUCCCAUGAAAAUUCA
This 491-nucleotide long non-coding RNA is filed under the name Triticum aestivum (bread wheat). Its description in RNAcentral is "long non-coding RNA (TAES_LNC013577)". The record is from RNAcentral. Lineage: Eukaryota; Viridiplantae; Streptophyta; Magnoliopsida; Poales; Poaceae.